This 119-nucleotide ribosomal RNA is filed under the name Cephalotus follicularis. The record is from RNAcentral. Lineage: Eukaryota; Viridiplantae; Streptophyta; Magnoliopsida; Oxalidales; Cephalotaceae.
GGGUACGAACAUACCAGCACUAAUACAUCGGAUCCCAUCAGAACUCCGCAGUUAAGUGUGCUUGGGCGAGAGUAGUACUGGGAUGGGUGACCUCCUGGGAAGUCCACGUGUUGCACCCC